RNAcentral lists this transfer RNA (74 nucleotides) under Thermoplasmatales archaeon. RNAcentral describes it as "tRNA-Phe". It matches the Rfam family "tRNA". From Rfam's summary of the family: Transfer RNA (tRNA) molecules are approximately 80 nucleotides in length. The record is from RNAcentral. RNAcentral also lists the same sequence under 2 other names. Lineage: Archaea; Methanobacteriati; Thermoplasmatota; Thermoplasmata; Thermoplasmatales.
GCCGCGGUAACUCAGUUUGGGAGAGUGCACGGCUGAAGACCGUGAUGUCGAGGGUUCGAUCCCCUCCUGCGGCA